This 329-nucleotide long non-coding RNA is filed under the name Pandoravirus dulcis. Its description in RNAcentral is "putative ncRNA". The record is from RNAcentral.
CUCGGUCAUCAUGGCGCGCAACGCGCGACACAUGGCCGCUCGAAAGGCCGCCUUGCGGGCCUCUUGGCGUGCCGCCUUGUUGUUGUUGUUUUGGUGGCGGUGGCGGUGGUUGGGAUCGCGACUCUGGGCGUGGUCGUCGCCGUCGGUUGCAACGUGCGCGUCAUCGGCGUGUUGGGUGGCCUCCUCGUCGUUGGUAUGGCACGCCUCGGCCUGCUGGGCCGCCUUUUCGGCAGCGGCCCUGCGGGCGAUGGCCGCCUGUGCGCGGCGCUGGUGGCGGUUCAUCGGCGCGGCUGCGGUGGACGUGGUCGUGCUCAUGGUGCAGUGCAGCG